Molecule: non-coding RNA, 209 nt
Organism: Oryza meridionalis
Lineage: Eukaryota; Viridiplantae; Streptophyta; Magnoliopsida; Poales; Poaceae
Source: Rfam
AAAAAGAUAAACCGUGGGUUUCCGUGUUCAACGUUUGACUGUCCGUCUUAUAUGAAAUUUUUUAUAAUUAGUAUUUUCAUUAUUGUUAGAUCGAUGAUGAAACAUGAUUAAUACUUUAUGCGUGAAUUGAUUUUUUAAUUUUUUUCAUAAUUUUUUCAAAUAAGACGGAUGGUCAAACGUUGGACAUGAAACCCAGGGUUUAUCUUUUU